GAUGAACGCUAGCGGCAGGCCUAACACAUGCAAGUCGAGGGAGAAGCCCUUUCGGGGGCAGAAACCGGCGCACGGGUGCGUAACGCGUAUGCAACCUACCUUUCACAGGGGGAUAGCCCGAAGAAAUUUGGAUUAAUACCCCAUAAUAUUAUUGGAUGGCAUCAUUUGAUAAUUAAAACUGCGGUGGUGAAAGAUGGGCAUGCGUCCUAUUAGCUAGUUGGAGUGGUAACGGCACCCCAAGGCUACGAUAGGUAGGGGUCCUGAGAGGGAGAUCCCCCACACUGGUACUGAGACAGAGACCAGACUCCUACGGGAGGCAGCAGUGAGGAAUAUUGGUCAAUGGUCGGAAGACUGAACCAGCCAUGCCGCGUGCAGGAAGAAUGCCUUAUGGGUUGUAAACUGCUUUUAGAUGGGAAGAAUAAGGCGUACGUGUACGUUGAUGACGGUACCAUAUGAAUAAGCAUCGGCUAACUCCGUG
RNAcentral lists this ribosomal RNA (478 nucleotides) under uncultured bacterium. Its description in RNAcentral is "partial 16S ribosomal RNA". It matches the Rfam family "Bacterial small subunit ribosomal RNA", at positions 28 to 507 of the family's 1533-position model. The record is from RNAcentral.